CCAAAUUCGGCUAGUCACGCGGGGCCAACGUUCGGGAACCGGUCCCUGCCUGCCAGAGACCGGUUGCACCGAGGAACCCCGCCAGCCCAGCCUGAUGGGACCGGUCCCUCCCUGCCAGGGACUGGUCCCCGAGAGCAAAUUCUGCUCCAGUGCAGAUUUUGCACUGCAGCUCUCGCGGACCCUUCCUCAAUGCACUCUAGGCAUUUUAAUCACCUUCGGGCUUUCCAAAGCCCACACCCUCGACAAACAGUUGAUUCUGAAUGAAGUCCAAUCCUCGGCCCUCGAGAAUUUACUUCCUUACAUUCUCCCCAUCUUUAAAAGAGUUUCGUCAUCGAAACGAACUCAACAUUACAAAAUUCCAAAUCUUAAACUCAUACCUCAGCUUAAGCCUCGAACAGGUGAGGGUGGUUCGCUUUCAUCUCGCUUUCGAGCUCCCAGGUGGCUUCGCGAUCCCCAUGAUUGCUCCACCGGACUCGAACAUAGGGAAUUUCCCGACUCCUCAACUUACGCACUUCUCGAGCUAAAAUCAUCACCGGAAACUCCUCGUAGCUCAUAUCUUCUUGCAGUUCCAGCGGCUCGUACACCAAAACAUGUUCGGGGUCAUGCACGUACUUACGAAGAUUGGAGACGUGGAAUACGUUGUGCACACCCGCCAACUUAGGUGGCAAUGCUAGUCGGUAAGCCACCGUCCCAAUCCGCUCCAAAACCUCGUAGGGGCCAAUGUAACGAGGACUUAACUUCCCUCGCACCCCAAACCUCCUUACACCUCUCAUCGGCGAAACUUUCAAAAACACGCGGUCACCCACCGCGAACUCUAGAUCUCUACGGCGCUUAUCCGAAUAACUCUUCUGCCGAGACUGCGCCGCGAGCAAUCUCUUGCGAGCAACGUGGACUCUCCUCCGCCUCUCGCAAUACAUCUGGACCAAACUCCACUCGCUCGCCUACAUCACUCCAAUGGAUGGGAGAUCGGCACUUCCGCCCAUAAAGAGCCUCGAACGGUGCCAUCCCCACACGCGCGUGAUAACUGUUGUUGUAGGCGAACUCGGCCAUCGGUAGGUGCUUACACCAACUUCCUUUAUAAUCAAUGGCACACGCCCGUAACAUAUCCUCCAGGGUUUGGAUGGUCCUCUCGGUUUGCCCAUCGGUCUGAGGAUGAAAAGCGGUACUGAACUCGAGUCGUGUGCCAAGGGCUUCUUGCAGGCUCCUCCAAAAGUGUGAAGUAAACUUGGGGUCUCGAUCUGACACAAUCGACUUCGGCACCCCGUGCAACCUCACCACCUCAUCAAGAUACACCUGCGCGAGCUUCUCACCUGCCCAAGUGUUGUGGAUUGGCAGAAAGUGCGCCGAUUUUGUCAAACGGUCCACAAUCAACCAAAUCGCGUCGUGGCCACCCGUUGAACGAGGUAAGCCGACGAUAAAGUCCAUCGACACAUACUCCCAUUUCCAGACAGGAAUAGACAGACUCUGAAGCUUCCCCGCCGGAAACCGACGCUCCGCUUUCACUUGUUGACACACCAAACACUUCGCCACGAAGCGCCCAAUAUCAACCUUCAUUCCCGGCCACCAAUACAGUGUCUUCAAUUCGUGAAACAUCUUGGUGCCGCCCGGGUGGUCGACAUAAGGAAACCAAUGCGCUUCUUGUAGAAUCAACUUGCGAAGCUCCUCGUCGUUUGGCACGCACCACCGGUUUCGAAACCGUAGUGCACCGCUAGCGUCCACGCUGAAAUCUCCGCGGCGGCCGCUUUCAAUAUUGAGCCGCACCUUCUGGAGAUUCGGGUCUGCAGACUGCCGGCUUUUGAUCCUCUCCAACAAGGUCGGUUGGAUCACCAACGACAUCAACCUAGCCGGGGUUUCCUGGGUUACCACCUCAAGUUCCAUCUUCCCCAUUUGCAACCAUAGGGGCGUUUGAUUUGUAAACCACAAGGCUAAGUUCUCCAUCGACUUCCGACUAAGCACUUCCGCGACUACAUUCGCUUUUCCGGGGUGGUAAAGGAUAUCGACGUCGUAAUCCUUAAGCAAUUCCAACCACCGCCGUUGCCGCAUGUUUAACUCCUUCUGGGUAAACAAAUACUUUAGGCUUUUAUGGUCGGUGUAGAUCUCGCAAUGAGCACCAUACAAAUAAUGUCUCCAAAGUUUCAAAGCGAAGAUCACCGCCGCCAAUUCCAAAUCAUGUAUGGGGUAGUUCUUCUCGUAGCUCUUCAACUGACGGGAUGCAUAAGCAAUCACCCUCCCGCCUUGCAUCAGCACACACCCCAAACCCAGAUAGGACGCGUCGCUAAAAACGACAUAAUCCUCACCCUGCACCGGUAAGGCGAGUACCGGAGUCGAAGUUAACCUCUCCUUCAGCUCUUGGAAACUCCGAUCGCACUCGUCGCUCCAAACGAAUCUGGUGCCCUUCUGCGUCAGACGGGUGAGUGGAGUCACGAUCUUCGAGAAUCCCUCCACAAACCGUCGAUAAUAACCCGCUAGGCCCACAAAGCUUCGGACCUCCGUGACAUUCGUCGGGCGUGGCCAACUCUCAAUAGCCUCUACCUUCCUCGGGUCAACAGAUACACCGUGUGACGCCCUAAUUUCCCAGGGGGUCACCCAUCCUAGGACUACUCCCGUCCUAGCACGCUUAACUCUCUUAACCUCUUGGGCCUUGCCACCACCCAAAAUGCUUAAGCCGGUUAAGAGUUUAGCUCUAUAAUAUCACAUAUAUAGGACUAUCUGGGGUCUCACACACCGCCCUCGGAAAUAACAUGCCCGAGAAAAGCAACUUCUCGGAGCCAGAAGUCACACUUCUUCAACUUCGCGUACAACUUCUUCUCCCGAAGGAUUUGAAGUACAAUGCGUAAAUGCUCCGCAUGCUCCUCUUCAUUGCGUGAAUAGACCAAGAUGUCGUCUAUGAAGACUACGACAAAUCGAUCUAGACACUCCCUGAACACUCGGUUCAUCAAGCUCAUGAACGCAGCCGGGGCAUUCGUAAGCCCAAACGGCAUCACGGUGAACUCGUAGUGUCCAUACCGCGUACGGAAUGCCGUCUUCGGAACAUCCUUCGGCUUAAACUUCAAUUGAUGGUAGCCGGAUUGAAGGUCAAUCUUUGAGUACACUCGCGACCCCUGUAGCUGAUCAAACAAGUCGUCGAUGCGGGGUAACGGGUACUUGUUCUUCACCGUGACCUUAUUCAACUCACGAUAAUCCACGCAGAGUCGGAAAGAUCCAUCCUUCUUGCGCACGAACAACACCGGGGCUCCCCACGGCGACACACUCGGCGUAAUAAAUCCCUUGUCAAGAAGAUCUUGCAAUUGAUCUCUCAACUCUCUCAGCUCGGCCGGCGCCAUGCGAUAAGGGGCCUUUGAUAUCGGCGCGGUCCCGGGAAUCAAGUCUAUCAUGAACUCAAUCUCCCGGUCCGGCGGCAUCCCGGGUAACUCUGCGGGAAAUACAUCUGGGAACUCCCGCACAACUGCCAACUCCUCGAGAGUCGGAACAACUCGACCAACUUCCACAACGGUCGCUAGAUAAGCCGUGCAACCGUCGUUCACUAGCUUCCUCGCUCUCGUCGCCGACACCGUCGCGGCGAAACACGAACUCUUGCAAGCUCAAUACGUGACCUCCUCGUGUCCCGGCUCCCGAAAUGUGAUCACUCUGGUCUUGCAAUCAAUGGACACAUAAUACUUCGAGAGCCAGUCCAUGCCCAGUAUCACAUCAAACUCCUUUAAUCUUUUGAGCACCAAUAGAUCGACCGGCAUAACCCAGUCGCCUACUUGUACUGGGCACGCCAAACACCGCUUCCUAACAAUAAACGCUCGUCCGGGUCCUUCUACAUGCCAAAUGUUUUCCCCUAGACGAAUUUCGAUACCAUGCUCUUGUGCGAAUGACCAGUUAAUAAACGAGUGAGACGCACUAGUAUCAAAAAGAGCUCUUGCUCGAACACCAUUUACCAAAAUCAUACCUGCCACCACAUUGCGCUACUCGGCUUCGGUGGGCUCCUCGACUUGUACUUGGGCGGCAUACAUCCGCCCGCUCGUAGCCGAUCGGGCUGGUUCAGGUUGGCGUGGCGCCGCCGCUCACCCAGCUGACGCCCCAGCAGGUGGAACUCCAUAGCGAGCCGGAAUCGCCGGGGCCGAUGCGACAGAUGGAGCAGGUGAAGCCCCUCCUUGAGGACAGUCGCGUGCGAUGUGCCCUGCUUGCCCGCACCUAAAGCAUUUUCCUCGGCGCUGAUCACACAUACUGGGUCGGUGGUCACCGCCACAAAAGAUACACCGCUGCGCUCCGCGGCCCUUGGGUUGCGAUCGGGGAUACUUCGGGGGCCUUCUUGAACUCGAUUGUCCACCCGAACCACCGCCUGGUCGCUUCCUCCCUUUAUCCUUCUCAAACGUCUCACGGUCCUCACGCUCGCAGGCGUUCCCGUGUUUGACCCACAAGGCACGGUCUAAGGCCUCCGCGAAAGUAUGAAACUUGAAGGCAUGCACCGUCCUAAACACUCCGGGUCGGAGCCCUCUUACGAAGCAAUCUGCUCGAUCUUGCUCCGUUACCGCGACGUCCGGGACGCAGUUCAAAAGAUGAGUGAACUCCCGCUCGUACUCCCGAAUCGUCCGGUUGCCUUGCUUCAGCUUCCUGAAGUCUUCCCGCAUCUUUCUCUUAUCGCUGUCAGGGAAGUACUCCGCAAACAUCAAUCUUCGGAACUCCUCCCAAUCGAUCGGGGAAAGAUCCGACGAUCGGUCCUGCUUCACUCUUUUCCACCACACCCUGGCCCGCUUGUCAAAACAGUGAGCGGCCAGAUUCACCUUGUCCCGCUCCUCGGUGUAGAUGUCCUCGAACAACGUCUCCAUGGCGGCUAACCACGUCUCCACCGUCCAUGGGUCAAUCACCUCUCCGUCGAACGUGGGCGGAUGGAAUUUCGUGAACCUUGUGAGAGCCGUGUAUCCACGCUCUCGCUCCACCUCCUCAGCCGCUACUCUGGGCGUAGGGGAACUAGACACCGCAGGAGGAAUAUCCACCGGUGGGGGUUGCGCCGCCACCGGAACCGGCGCAUCGCACGCACCCUCAGCCGCAUUGGGAGCGCGGACUGAAGGCGCAGGCGGAUCAUGGCCUUGACCAACCGCCGCGGCCGCUGCCUGUCGCUCCAACAACUCCUGGAGCCGAUCGAACCGUCCUGUUAGCGCCGCAACUUGCGCUCGCAAUUCUUGUACCUCGCUAGGCCCAGCCGGCUCUGGCGCCACCGGGGGCACAACUGGCUCGGGCACCUCUGGAGGUGGUGCCGGAGCAGUCCUACACACGUAGCGUCCCUUCGGUGCCAUAAGCUCCUGAAACGCACACAGUCGGUUAAUUAUUCAACCCAACCACGUCUUCGCAAUUACGGAACGAUAUUGCUCAACUACGUUAAUCAGACGGAAGCUCAUGAGUGUACUCAUUCUUGACUCCCGGCAUCGUGUUGUCGGCCGCCAACACAACCGCCUUAAGCCAAGAACUAGUAUCACUCAAUUCAUCUCUAGCAAUUACUAGAGUAUCAACACCAACUUCGACCCAAUCGAUCAACUUCCGCCGCGUCAUAGGUUCACGUCGCACUCACGCACCUAUAACCUUAUGGUUUACCGUCCUAGAGUCUCCUAGGUCAGUCAUAGACUCUCUCUUUUGCUUGCUCUUACUAUCGCUCUGAUACCACAACUGUCACGCCCCCGACCGCACUACUCGAAAACGGUACCGAUUUGGUCCGGUUCGAGGGCGGCGGGCGUGAGGCCGAACGGACAGCACCUCCCCUGUCCGCCCAAGGCUCAAGAGACAAGAUUGUGUACAACAAGUUCCCAGGAAGCACUUGGAUAUACAUACACAAUCAAACGAUAACAACGAAAGCACAACCAGUGCCUAUCAACCAAGAGCAAGCAACACAAGUAAAGCAUACAAGUGAUAAGAGAGAGAGAUGUACUUAACUGCUAAACUCACUUUAUACAACCAUUCAUCUUUUACAUUCUUCCAAGAUAUAUGCACAAUGUAUACAAUCCUCUCAAAACCUCACCCUAUACAUCAAUCUACUCUCAAAAUAAGUAAAGGGUGUAACUAAGGCAUAAAGGGAAGUAAACCUCUGCUAGUAUCGCUAGGGCGCUAUGCCCUUGCCGCGAUCCUCACCGGGGGCGCUCGAGCUCGGACCUGUAACAUGGUGGAGUGAGAACUACGAAUAGUUCCCAGUGGGUUCGGCCGCCGACUCCGCCGAUCUCCCCACUAGGUCUAAGCAGGCACAGAUAGAUAUACAGAUAGAUAGAUAUAUGAAAUCAAAAGCAUCUUCAGUAAUAAGCAUCUAUAAACUAGAAUCUAUCAAUGCCUCAAUCUAAUGUAAUGCAUGCAUGGAACUAAUAGUAAGAUGGCCAGCUAUCAACUACUAUGUUCAAUAAUUGAAUCAUUCAUCUGGUUACCCAAUCUCUCGGCGAACACAAGGCUCGCACACUGUCUCACGUGUAUCAAUCUCCUAGGGAGGUGGCUAGCUCUUCACCUACCCCGAGACCGCCUGCGGACACUACACUGGUCCAAGGGCACUACACUGGCCCCCUCGCGUGCCAAACUCCGGACUGCACUACCUGUGAGGCGCUACCACCACAGGUGCAGAUAGGCUAAGUGAGCUCGAUCCAAUCUCAUGAACUGGGAACACCCUAACCAACUAGGAUUGGUGUCACUGAAGAAUCAGGUGUUCAUCUGCUCAAUCUCAUAGUGUCUCAACUACACUAAAGUUCUCAAGUUCAAUGUCAACUAGAUGCCACUCGUUCUGGGUUCAUUGUUAACUAGAUGCCACUCGUUCUGAUUACACUAGUUUACAAUAUACUAGGUUCUCAUUCACAUAGACAUAUUCAUUACAUAUAGGGUUAACUACCUCAUAGUGUUCAACUCAUGCAUACUAGGUUCUCAUCCAUUGUAUUCACAACCCAAACUAUCACUAGCAUGCAAGGAUAUGCACAAUUACAUUUAACACCCUAUAAUGCUAUAUUACAGUAUGAAUUUAAUCGACAUAAUAACCCAGACAUAGAAAGCAGCUCGACUGCUUCGGGAUGGCACUCCCCCACCUUUUGGUCGUGCCGCGCGACUAGACAACUCGACGUCGCGGUCUUCGUGCGUCGCUUCAGCACCUCGGGGCAAAACGAACCCCCGAGUAUCAGUUUCGGCGAUAUCUUCGCACCCGCUCGUUGGAUCGACGAACCGUCUUCGCCUACACGUUCAGAGACCAAGCAAUUAGGUUUGCGACCACUUAAAAUAGAUCAAAACCCUAGCCUUCUCUUUCUCUUUCUCUUCUUUUCCUUCUUCUUCUUCCUCUCCUUCUUCUUCUCCUUCUCCUUCUUCUUCUUCUUCUUUCUAGAGAGAGAGAGAGAGAAAGAGUGUGAGAGAGGGAGAGAGAGAAAGCAACUGAGAGGGAGAGAGAGGUCCCCCACCUCUAUUAAAGGCCACUUUGCAAUUAGCCCCCCCUCACUUUCUACCUUCUGAACUAGCCCUCACUGGGCAUUUUCGCAGCGAGGGACUGGUCCCAGCUCGGGGAGACCGGUCCCCGAAGGCCACCCAUUCGGGCAGAGGGGAUUUCGCGUUCGGGAAUCGGUCCCUGUCUGAGAGACCGGUACCCGGGAGACCGGUCCUUGGCUGAGAGACCGGUUUCCGAGAGUAGUAUUUUCGGGACUUAGCCAAAUUUCGGCUAAUCACGCGGGGCCAACGUUCGGGAACCGGUCCCUGCCUGCCAGAGACCGGUUGCACCGAGGAACCCCGCCAGCCCAGCCUGAUGGGACCGGUCCCUCCCUGCCAGGGACCAGUCCCCGAGAGCAAAUUCUGCUCCAGUGCAGAUUUUUCACUGCAGCUCUCGCGGACCCUUCCUCAAUGCACUCUAGGCAUUUUAAUCACCUUCGGGCUUUCCAAAGCCCACACCCUCGACAAACAGUCGAUUCUGAAUGAAGUCCAAUCCUCGGCCCUCGAGAAUUUACUUCCUUACA
RNAcentral lists this long non-coding RNA (7943 nucleotides) under Ananas comosus (pineapple). Its description in RNAcentral is "long non-coding RNA (ACOM_LNC044332)". The record is from RNAcentral. Lineage: Eukaryota; Viridiplantae; Streptophyta; Magnoliopsida; Poales; Bromeliaceae.